CCGAGUUUACAACUCCCAAACCCCUGUGAACAUACCUAUACGUUGCCUCGGCGGAUCAGCCCGCGCCCCGUAAAAAGGGACGGCCCGCCCGAGGACCCCUAAACUCUGUUUUUAGUGGAACUUCUGAGUAAAACAAACAAAUAAAUCG
RNAcentral lists this unclassified non-coding RNA (148 nucleotides) under soil metagenome. Its description in RNAcentral is "partial internal transcribed spacer 1". The record is from RNAcentral.